Molecule: ribosomal RNA, 1311 nt
Filed under: uncultured bacterium
Lineage: Bacteria
Description: bacterial SSU rRNA
Rfam family: Bacterial small subunit ribosomal RNA
Source: RNAcentral
CUCGAGUUUUUAGCAGAUCAGGCCUAACACAUGCAAGUCGAACGAUAUAGUGGCAGACGGGUGAGUAACGCGUGGAAACGUGCCUUUCACUACGGAAUAGCUUUUGGAAACGAAAGGUAAUACCGUAUACGCCCUCCGGGGGAAAGAUUUAUCGGUGAAAGAUCGGUCCGCGUUAGAUUAGCUAGUUGGUGAGGUAAUGGCUCACCAAGGCUACGAUCUAUAGCUGGUCUGAGAGGAUGAUCAGCCACACUGGGACUGAGACACGGCCCAGACUCCUACGGGAGGCAGCAGUGGGGAAUAUUGCACAAUGGGCGCAAGCCUGAUGCAGCCAUGCCGCGUGAAUGAUGAAGGCCUUAGGGUUGUAAAAUUCUUUCGCCAGGGAUGAUAAUGACAGUACCUGGUAAAGAAGCCCCGGCUAACUUCGUGCCAGCAGCCGCGGUAAUACGAAGGGGGCUAGCGUUGUUCGGAAUUACUGGGCGUAAAGCGCGCGUAGGCGGACUUUUAAGUCAGAUGUGAAAUCCCGAGGCUCAACCUCGGAACUGCAUUUGAAACUGGGAGUCUAGAGAUCAGGAGAGGUUAGCGGAAUACCGAGCGUAGAGGUGAAAUUCGUAGAUAUUCGGUGGAACACCAGUGGCGAAGGCGGCUAACUGGACUGAUACUGACGCUGAGGUGCGAAAGUGUGGGGAGCAAACAGGAUUAGAUACCCUGGUAGUCCACACCGUAAACGAUGAGUGCUAGUUGUCUGCAGGCAUGCCUGUAGGUGACGCAGCUAACGCAUUAAGCACUCCGCCUGGGGAGUACGGCCGCAAGGUUAAAACUCAAAGAAAUUGACGGGGGCCCGCACAAGCGGUGGAGCAUGUGGUUUAAUUCGAAGCAACGCGCAGAACCUUACCUACGCUUGACAUGCCCGGACGAUUUCCAGAGAUGGAUCUCUCCCUUCGGGGCCGGUGCACAGGUGCUGCAUGGCUGUCGUCAGCUCGUGUCGUGAGAUGUUGGGUUAAGUCCCGCAACGAGCGCAACCCUCAUCCUUAGUUGCCAUCACGUUUGGGUGGGCACUCUAGGGAAACUGCCGGUGCUAAGCCGGAGGAAGGCGGGGAUGACGUCAAGUCCUCAUGGCCCUUACGCGUAGGGCUACACACGUGCUACAAUGGCAGUGACAAUGGGAUAAUCCCCAAAGGCUGUCUCAGUUCGGAUUGUCGGCUGCAACUCGCCGGCAUGAAGUUGGAAUCGCUAGUAAUCGUGGAUCAGCAUGCCACGGUGAAUACGUUCCCGGGCCUUGUACACACCGCCCGUAUCUGCUAAAAACUCGAC